UACGUAGGGGGCAAGCGUUGUCCGGAAUUAUUGGGCGUAAAGAGCGUGUAGGCGGUCCGGUAAGUCGGCUGUGAAAGUCCAGGGCUCAACCCUGGGAUGCCGGUCGAUACUGCCGGACUAGAGUUCGGAAGAGGCGAGUGGAAUUCCCGGUGUAGCGGUGAAAUGCGCAGAUAUCGGGAGGAACUCCUAUGGCGAAGGCAGCUCGCUGGGACGGUACUGACGCUAAGGCGCGAAAGCGUGGGGAGCGAACAGG
Molecule: ribosomal RNA, 253 nt
Filed under: uncultured bacterium
Lineage: Bacteria
Description: partial 16S ribosomal RNA
Rfam family: Bacterial small subunit ribosomal RNA
Source: RNAcentral